GCUUCUGAUCAGUCAGUAGAGCAUGAAACUCUUCAUCUCAGGGUUGUGGGUUCGAGUCCCACAUUGGGCA
This is a non-coding RNA of Podarcis lilfordi (Lilford's wall lizard), 70 nucleotides long. The record is from the annotation of a GenBank genome assembly. NCBI's taxonomy places the organism in Eukaryota, Metazoa, Chordata, Lepidosauria, Squamata, Lacertidae.